This 324-nucleotide ribosomal RNA is filed under the name Pfiesteria piscicida. RNAcentral describes it as "eukaryotic LSU rRNA". It matches the Rfam family "Eukaryotic large subunit ribosomal RNA", at positions 1 to 321 of the family's 3401-position model. The record is from RNAcentral. Lineage: Eukaryota; Dinophyceae; Peridiniales; Pfiesteriaceae.
CAAGACAUGAAGUCAGGUCAGCAAACCCGCUGAAUUUAAGCAUAUAAGUAAGCGGAGGAAAAGAAACUAAAUAGGAUUCCCUUAGUAAUGGCGAAUGAACAGGGAUCAGCUCAGGAUGGAAAUCGGGGCCCCGCGGCCUUGAAUUGUAAUCUGGAGAUGCACCACCAACUGGGGCACAGAUGUAAGCCUCUUGGAAAAGAGCAUCAGUGAGGGUGAGAAUCCCGCAUGGCAUCUGUAGUCCUCAGUGUACGGUGUGCAUUCUAAGAGUCACACUCCUCGGGACUGGAGUGCAAAUUGGGUGGUAAAUUUCAUCUAAAGCUAAAU